GGGGUCACCACACUGGUAGUUGGUAGAGAAUGAACAAUAGCAUGUUUUGUUGUUGAUCGGGUAACUUAUAAAUGGCACUGCAGUCCGGUCAUUAUUAGACUUUUACCUGGAGCAACAGGUCAUCAUUUUGUACAAGUACUUGAAAAUUAUUAGGUAUUAGAACCAUUUAUUAUCUGAAUGCUAAUCAAGGAGAGGAGGGAAAAUGGUUUCUUGAAUCACAAUGUAUUUCCUGCUAUUUUCUUAUAGCAGCACCUAACUUGGAU
RNAcentral lists this long non-coding RNA (263 nucleotides) under Elaeis guineensis (African oil palm). Its description in RNAcentral is "long non-coding RNA (EGUI_LNC074030)". Lineage: Eukaryota; Viridiplantae; Streptophyta; Magnoliopsida; Arecales; Arecaceae. The record is from RNAcentral.